GAAUGAUCGCUUCCUAAUCUUUUCUAGUCAUUUCGGCCUUGCACCUUAUGCAUAGCCUGUAAUGCACCGAAUUUUAAUAUAAAAGUAAGUAUAAAUAAAAAUAGUGUGAGAUACUAUUUUUAUUGGACUUAAAGAAGUAAAAUAUAAGUCGGAAACGACUUGUGCUGAAAUCGGAACGGAAACAGAAGAUUUAAAAUUUUGUGUAAGGAACGGGGCUGAUAUUUUAGUAGAAAAUUCACAGUAUCAGAAAAUUAUGAAAAUCUCGAAAUAUGUCGGGAUUAUUUUUAUGAGUCUAGAUUUUAAGUUUUAUGUCAUUCCGACACUCGAAAAGUGAAAAAAAAAAUCCGACUCCUAUCUGCUAGAGAUUUCAGUUCGGUAGAGCUUUCGGGGACCAAAAAUAGUCGGAAUUGAAAGAUUAAAAUUUUUGUAUUCUUAUUAAGUUAAACCGAGCCUGAAUGUCAAAUUUAAGCUCAAACAGACAUUCAGAAGGGCUCCGACGAAAAGUAUCAGAUUCUGAAAGCUAAACUGCUGGUUGUAAUAGUGUUUUGAGG
Molecule: long non-coding RNA, 551 nt
Filed under: Ananas comosus (pineapple)
Lineage: Eukaryota; Viridiplantae; Streptophyta; Magnoliopsida; Poales; Bromeliaceae
Description: long non-coding RNA (ACOM_LNC043004)
Source: RNAcentral